GUGCACCAGGCGCGAAACUUUACAAUGUGCGAAAGCACGAUAAGGGAACUCUGAGUGCCUCCUAAGGAGGCUGUUCAGGUGUCUAAAAGCACCUGAAGGAAGGGCUGGGUAAGACCGGUGCCAGCCCGCCGCGGUAACACCGGCAGCCCAAGUGGUAGCCACGUUUAUUGGGUCUAAAGCGUCCGUAGCCGGCUGGGUAAGUUCCUUGGGAAUUUGGCUGCUUAACAGUCAAGCUUUCAGGGAAUACUGCCC
This 252-nucleotide ribosomal RNA is filed under the name uncultured microorganism. RNAcentral describes it as "partial 16S ribosomal RNA". It matches the Rfam family "Archaeal small subunit ribosomal RNA", at positions 330 to 589 of the family's 1478-position model. The record is from RNAcentral.